Molecule: transfer RNA, 65 nt
Filed under: Duplicibothrium sp. MZUSP 8039
Lineage: Eukaryota; Metazoa; Platyhelminthes; Cestoda; Tetraphyllidea; Serendipidae
Description: tRNA-Gly
Source: RNAcentral
ACGUUAUUAGUAUAAACUAUUAUGCUACUUUUCCAAAGUAGCGAUCUAUUAAUUUAGAUAACGUA